UAACUAAUGGUAAGUACCAAUUAUUUUCACAAUUUUUAUGAAUGAAGCUGUAAUCACCAAAGGUGUACAGCCCAUACAGGCACUGGCCAGAGUGCAUAUACCACUAUCCCAUAAGGGGGGGGAACAUAUAGGUGUGAAUUUUGACAAAUUUUUAACUGCCAAAACAAUGUAAGCUACCAUAAACUUUCAGUGAAAUUAAUUGAAUAUUUGCUACCCUUAUUAAACCUUUGGCUACCAUGAAGAGUUUUCUUCACACAGAGGACAGUAGAUAGGCAUUUGGAUUAACAUGAGUUUUCCUCUUAUCUGUGUGCCAGCCACCGUCUAAUGACUGGCGUAUCUUUCAAUGUUUGAAUUUCAACGAUCUGUAUGAGCACUGCUCUAUUUUGAAAGUGUGUUGUGCAGAAAUAUAGAUCAUGGAAAAAUAAAAGUAUCCUUUUGUUCCCCCUCCCCUUAUAUAUUUUAUAUAAGCAUUUUUUGACAAGUCUAGGACUGCAUGAGGAUUUAUUAUAGUUUUAAGUAAACUUAACCCUUUCCCGACGGGGCACGCACUACGCGAAAACCCCUAUGCCGGGCGAUUGCAAUAAUGCAUUGUAAUAGUCACGCUGGCAUGACGCCCCGGCAUCAGAGGUUUGGCUGUCACACGAGUGUGAUGCACCGUCGUCAUUGGGUUAAUUUCAUAGUGAAAGGAAUGUCCUAGUUGCUUCAAAGCACUUUUUGUCUGCAGGAUGAACUUCACUAGCAAUGAAAUAGGAUGAUAUCCUAUAUUGACUGGCAGACUACAAGCCUCUAAUAGGUGGAGCUAUGCCAAGAUGAGUACACACAAGAAUCCAUCACAGCUUGUAAUCAAGAACUUGCAUCUGUGGAUAUGAAGCUAUACAAAUACCUAUAUUAAGGAAAAUCAAGAACUUGCAUCUGUGGAUAUGAAGCUAUACAAAUACCUAUAUUAAGGAAAUUCGGACUUUUAACUGGAUAUGAAAGGACUAAGACAUACAUUGACAAGUUCGUAUCGAGUGAAUACUACUUGGGAAAGGAUUGACUAGAGCAGCACAUUACAAGAACCAAACAAAUUAGGCAAUAUUCAUUGGGACCCCAUGCAACAGCAGAUAAGCAAGAUGAAGGAAAUAAAUUUUUGUAUAUAUUGCAGAGAGCAGAAAUGGAUAUUAAAUCUAAAAGGUAAGGUAAUUGUUUCUUCCUUUGUAACAUGUGAUUAUUCUAUUUUUCUUAAUCUCAGGCAGUAUUGGAGAUACCAUGACUUAUAACACAACUUCAAUGUAGAUCUUUGACUUUAACAAUCAUCAUUCACUUUUACUUUGGAAUUAUGAAUAGAUUACUGAAUGUAAUGAAGUACUAUAUCAGUUUAAUUUUAAAUAAAUUUUCCAUCAAUGUUUGCAGUAGAUGUUAGUGCUAGUUGAAAUGCAUAUACAAUUGUAGUGUAGCAUUUUUGUGCAUGUAUUAUCUAAUUAUUUUCUAGGUAAUAAAAUAAAAUAUAAAUUGAAAA
This 1498-nucleotide long non-coding RNA is filed under the name Penaeus japonicus. RNAcentral's name for it is "uncharacterized LOC122250462, transcript variant X1". The record is from RNAcentral. Lineage: Eukaryota; Metazoa; Arthropoda; Malacostraca; Decapoda; Penaeidae.